AGAGUUUGAUCCUGGCUCAGAACGAACGCUGGCGGCAGGCUUCAUACAUGCAAGUCGAGCGGAAAGGCCCCUUCGGGGGUACUCGAGCGGCGAACGGGUGAGUAACAGGUGGGUAAUCUGCCUUUCGGAGGGGGAUAACGGCUGGAAACGGCCGCUAAUACCCCGUACGGUUGUGAAGCUCUCGGGCUUUGCAAAGAAAGGGGCCUUUAAAGCCCCGCCGAAAGAUGAGCCCGCCCCCCAUUAGCUAGUUGGCGGGGUAAUGGCCCACCAAGGCUGUGAUGGGUAGCCGAGCUGAGAGGUUGAUCGGCCACACUGGAACUGAGACACGGUCCAGACACCUACGGGUGGCAGCAGUAGGGAAUAUUGCGCAAUGGGCGAAAGCCUGACGCAGCCAUGCCGCGUGGAUGAUGAAGGCCUUCGGGUCGUAAAGUCCUUUUCUGAGGGUAGAACUGCCGGGGGAGGAAAUGCCCUUGGCUUGACGGUACCUCAGGAAUAAGCAACGGCUAACUCCGUGCCAGCAGCCGCGGUAAUACGGAGGUUGCAAGCGUUGUUCGGAAUGACUGGGCGUAAAGGGAGCGCAGGCGGCCAAGUCAGUCUGAAGUGAAAGCCCGGGGCUUAACCCCGGAAUAGCUUUGGAUACUGCCUGGCUUGAGUGUGCGAUAGGAAAGCGGAAUUCCAGGUGUAGCGGUGAAAUGCGUAGAUAUCUGGAGGAACACCGGUGGCGAAAGCGGCUUUCUGGCGCAUAACUGACGCUGAGGCUCGAAAGCGUGGGGAGCGAACGGGAUUAGAUACCCCGGUAGUCCACGCCGUAAACGUUGUGCACUAGGUGUGGAGGUAUCGACCCCUUCCGUGCCGAAGCUACGCAUUAAGUGCACGCUGGGGAGUACGGUCGCAGACUGAAACUCAAAUGAAUUGACGG
Molecule: ribosomal RNA, 919 nt
Filed under: uncultured bacterium
Lineage: Bacteria
Description: bacterial SSU rRNA
Rfam family: Bacterial small subunit ribosomal RNA
Source: RNAcentral